This 66-nucleotide transfer RNA is filed under the name Sphaerodactylus torrei. RNAcentral's name for it is "tRNA-Cys". The record is from RNAcentral. Lineage: Eukaryota; Metazoa; Chordata; Lepidosauria; Squamata; Sphaerodactylidae.
AUUACCAGGCCCCGAGAAGGCCCAAAGUGCAAAUUUGGCGAGUACACCGUAAAGGUGUCGGGGCUU